This 92-nucleotide small nucleolar RNA is filed under the name Theobroma cacao (cacao). RNAcentral describes it as "Small nucleolar RNA snoR8a". It matches the Rfam family "Small nucleolar RNA snoR8a". Lineage: Eukaryota; Viridiplantae; Streptophyta; Magnoliopsida; Malvales; Malvaceae. The record is from Rfam by way of RNAcentral.
GAGUUAGCGAUGAUUAUAAAAAUAAUUUCUCAUUCUGACUUACUUAAUUGAACAUGACAGAUCUCUUAUUACAAUCAUAGAAUCUGAGCUCC